ACUCAAAGGAAUAGACGGGGGCCCGCACAAGCGGUGGAGCAUGUGGUUUAAUUCGAUGCAACGCGAAGAACCUUACCUGGGUUUGACAUCCGGAGACAGUCCUAGAGAUAGGAUCUUCCCUUCGGGGACUCCGAGACAGGUGCUGCAUGGCUGUCGUCAGCUCGUAUCGUGAGAUGUCGGGUUAAGUCCCUUAACGAGCGCAACCCUUAUCCUUAGUUGCCACCAUUUAGUUGGGCACUCUAUGGAGACUGCCGGCGUUAAGCCGGAGGAAGGCGGGGAUGACGUCAAGUCCUCAUGGCCUUUAUAUCCAGGGCUACACACGUGCUACAAUGGCCGGUACAGAGGGUCGCCAACCCGCGAGGGGGAGCUAAUCCCAGAAAGCCGGUCUUAGUUCGGAUCGAAGUCUGCAAUUCGACUUCGUGAAGCUGGAAUCGCUAGUAAUCGCGGAUCAGAACGCCGCGGUGAAUACGUUCCCGGGCCUUGUACACACCGCCCGU
This 497-nucleotide ribosomal RNA is filed under the name uncultured bacterium. RNAcentral describes it as "partial 16S ribosomal RNA". It matches the Rfam family "Bacterial small subunit ribosomal RNA", at positions 899 to 1397 of the family's 1533-position model. The record is from RNAcentral.